This 934-nucleotide ribosomal RNA is filed under the name uncultured bacterium. Its description in RNAcentral is "bacterial SSU rRNA". It matches the Rfam family "Bacterial small subunit ribosomal RNA", at positions 51 to 968 of the family's 1533-position model. The record is from RNAcentral.
AUACAUGCAAGUCGAGCGGACUGAUUCGGAGCUUGCUUCGAGGAUGUCAGCGGCGGACGGGUGAGUAACACGUGGGUAACCUGCCUGGCAGACUGGGAUAACGCUUGGAAACGAGUGCUAAUACCGGAUGAUCUCUUGGACUGCAUGGUUCGAGAGUAAAAGGAGCUUUUGCUUCACUGCCAGAUGGACCCGCGGCGCAUUAGCUAGUUGGUGAGGUAACGGCUCACCAAGGCGACGAUGCGUAGCCGACCUGAGAGGGUGACCGGCCACACUGGGACUGAGACACGGCCCAGACUCCUACGGGAGGCAGCAGUAGGGAAUCUUCCGCAAUGGGCGCAAGCCUGACGGAGCAACGCCGCGUGAGUGAUGAAGGCCUUCGGGUUGUAAAACUCUGUCUUCUGUGAAGAACCAUCCUGUGCAGAGAAAGCUCAGGACCUGACGGUAACAGAGGAGGAAGCCCCGGCUAACUACGUGCCAGCAGCCGCGGUAAUACGUAGGGGGCAAGCGUUGUCCGGAUUCACUGGGCGUAAAGCGCGCGCAGGCGGUUUCUCACGUCCGGGGUGAAAGCCCAGAGCUCAACUCUGGGAUUGCCUUGGAUACGGGGAGACUUGAGGAUCGGAGAGGCAAGGGGAAUUCCACGUGUAGCGGUGAAAUGCGUAGAGAUGUGGAGGAACACCUGUGGCGAAGGCGCCUUGCUGGCCGAUUUCUGACGCUGAGGCGCGAAAGCGUGGGGAGCAAACAGGAUUAGAUACCCUGGUAGUCCACGCCGUAAACGAUGAGUGCUAGGUGUUAGGGGGCCCACCCCUUAGUGCCGAAGCUAACGCAUUAAGCACUCCGCCUGGGGAGUACGGUCGCAAGACUGAAACUCAAAGGAAUUGACGGGGGCCCGCACAAGCAGUGGAGCAUGUGGUUUAAUUCGAAGCAACGCGAAGAA